RNAcentral lists this long non-coding RNA (327 nucleotides) under Zostera marina. RNAcentral describes it as "long non-coding RNA (ZMAR_LNC002051)". Lineage: Eukaryota; Viridiplantae; Streptophyta; Magnoliopsida; Alismatales; Zosteraceae. The record is from RNAcentral.
AAAUCAACAUCGGAACGAAUUUUCAGACGAGAAAAGAAAAAGAGAACUAUCUGGCUCUCGAUACCAUAUUUGAAGACUGAAUUGAGUGAAAUGAUUUUAUGAUUAUUUCUCAUUGAUCAUUGUUAUUUAUACAACUUUGAUUUAACAACUCUAACAAACAAUGCAUAACAACUUUUCAGUUGUUUCUGUUAACAUGGGCAAGCAAGUGCCAGUGCGGGAGGGGUCGGUGCCGGUGCUGAACGAACAGGUGCCGAUGCAGGAUGAAUCGAGAGAUAAAACUGAAAUAUAUUUUGGGGAUUGGGUAGUAGAGCUCUCUUACAUUUUAAC